UACCAGCACCCCGAGUGGUCGGGACGAUUAUUGGGCCUAAAGCAUCCGUAGCCGGUCAUGCAAGUCCUCCGUUAAAUCCCCCUGCUUAACAGAUGGGCUGCGGAGGAUACUACAAGGUUAGGAGGCGGAAGAGGCAAGCGGUACUCAGUGGGUAGGGGUAAAAUCCUCUGAUCCAUUGAAGCCCACCAGUGGCGAAGGCGGCUUGCCAAUACGCGCUCGACGGUGAGGGAUGAAAGCUGGGGGAGCAAACCGG
RNAcentral lists this ribosomal RNA (253 nucleotides) under uncultured bacterium. RNAcentral describes it as "partial 16S ribosomal RNA". It matches the Rfam family "Archaeal small subunit ribosomal RNA", at positions 474 to 727 of the family's 1478-position model. The record is from RNAcentral.